Molecule: long non-coding RNA, 1346 nt
Filed under: Heterocephalus glaber (naked mole-rat)
Lineage: Eukaryota; Metazoa; Chordata; Mammalia; Rodentia; Bathyergidae
Description: lncRNA (ENSHGLG00000046510.1)
Source: RNAcentral
GAGAAAAGGAGGUGGUGAGUGUCCAAGACCUGAGGAGAGCCAGAGAUGCUAAGCACCAAGGAGUUCAGCAUGAAGGAGCGACUAGAACAGAUCCCCUCUGAAGCAGCUGGGGGCUCAUCUGAGAAACUUCUCAUCCUUGAGGAGUGGUCAGCUAGGAGAGGAAGAAGGGAUGGUGUGGAGCCCACCCAUGGCCUAAGGAGCCAGUGUAGUCCACAGCCUGUGGGACCAGGAGCCUCCAGGUGGGCGACUCAAGAAGAAUCGAUGCUUCAGCCCCCAGCGACAUGUACACGGUGUAAUGACAGGUAAUGAACCUGAAACUCGUCUAUCCUUUAUGAAUGAUGUGGCAGGUAGGAGAAUAUAUCAGCUUGCAGUAGACAUAACAUGUCAACCCUUGGGAAGAUAACUAUGCAAACAAAGCACAGAAAGGCCUGAUAAGAUGAUAGAUGGACGCUUUAUAGUUAUUAGUUUUUGCCCAUGUGCUUGCUGGAGCCAAGCACCGGAAGAUUUAGCAUCAGCUGGGUUCACUCCUAGGCCUGGUGGGAAGGCUGAUACCUUUAUGGAUGUAGCCCUCUUAUUUUAGGAACUCAAGUAACAAAUCAAGAAGUUGUUAUUUCCAUCAGCUCCUAUGGGAGGCAGGGGAGCUGACACCAGUGGGGAAACAAAGGCAGCAGAGGGUCAAGUGGUUCUUUCUUGCAUCUGUGAUGCAGGAGGGGUGGGACUGGAGACUCAGAGGCCUCUAGGUUCGGUUCUCAUAACUUGAAUGACAGAGUGAUAAUGGGAUGGUAUUUUUCAUGAAAAAAGGAAAAGAAGGCUUGUGAUUCCCUCAUCGUUUCAUAGGUGUCAGGGCAAGUGGCAGAUAAUUGAAGGUGGCUAAGGAGAUCAUGAAUAGGGGUCUAGAGAGGAUAUGGGGGUUCUGGGUGAUGUCUCGGAUCCAGAAGUUGGUCUAGGGACUUAGCCAAGGCAGGAAGCAUUGGGCAGGACCCCUAGAUCCCAGAAGCAGGGCCUUGAGACUAGAAAGAUAGGGGACCAGCAGGUCUGGAGACCCUAAAGUGAGCUAAUCCCAUGGCAGAGCCUGUUCCUGCUGGUUGUCUGGUCUUUUGCCCUGUGUGCCAAGCACAGUACCAUUCUGUCAGCUUCCACCAUAAGGGAAAUACAGGGUGAGAUGGAAGCAAAAAUAGCUUGGAGCCUGGAGAAACUGACCAGGGCAAGGGGAGAGGGCCAGUGGCUUGGAGCAGGAGGCCCAGGAGGGUGUGGCAAAUUCCAUUCCAGUGCAGGCCAGUGUCAGGGUCCCCAGGGUCAGAGCCAAGAGCCAGGGAGGGGGCAGAACGUUAGGACUUCUGGGUGGC